GGUUGACCGUGAAGAUCUAACUAGGUAGUCCUAGCGUCCUUCCCCCUUCCCCCUUCCCCCUUCCCAAGGAAUCCAACGGGAGUCCAUAAACUGUUACUAUAAUAAUCAACAAAAACCGGUUUCCGCUUUUCGUUUCAAGGAGGCGAUUAAGAUGAAGAUUACUGUCAUGACUGCAGAUGAACAAUUCAUCACCCUCGACGUCGACCAAGAUGAAUCUGUUGAGAAUGUGAAGGCGCUUCUUGAGGUGGAGACUAGUGUCGCUUUACAUCAGCAACAGCUCCAUUUCAACGGGAAGGAGAUUCGUAACUCGGAUCGCUUAGGUUCUGUUGGUGUUAGAGAAGGAGAUCUUGUUAUGAUGCUUUCGUCAAAU
Long non-coding RNA from Phalaenopsis equestris, 370 nucleotides. RefSeq lists it as uncharacterized. NCBI's taxonomy places the organism in Eukaryota, Viridiplantae, Streptophyta, Magnoliopsida, Asparagales, Orchidaceae. The transcript is spliced from 3 exons. The record is from RefSeq and is a predicted model, not a curated record.